This 3067-nucleotide long non-coding RNA is filed under the name Meleagris gallopavo (turkey). RNAcentral's name for it is "lncRNA (ENSMGAG00000021316.1)". The record is from RNAcentral. Lineage: Eukaryota; Metazoa; Chordata; Aves; Galliformes; Phasianidae.
AUUAGGUUGUUAUCAUGAUACUUUUAUCUGGAGGAACAGCUGGCUCUGACAUCUUCACAGCUUUAUUUUGAUUUUUUAUUAUCUGUACUAUUAGAAAUGUUUUUCUGUGAGGUUCACUGUUAUCUUACUAAAUGUCUAAUCCCAUAGGGUACAGCAGACACUACCCAACUUCUAGUGUUAAAUCCAGCCACACAAUUCUACCUGAUGUUAAGUUUUGCUCUUGUCUAAUAUGGCCAGGAUUGAAUUAUGAGAAAAUGGCAGUAGGAUUACAAGCAUCCUAAAACAAAGCACAUAUCAAAUAGUGUAAAAUCUUUAAGUAAAACAACCAUCAGAAGCACCUAAUUGUGAGAAAUACUUGUGACUAUCCCAUGCCAAAGACAAGGAGACACUGCUUCCAAAAAUCAACUGUGGCACAUUUCUGUUCUCAACAGGAAGAGCUCAGCAGAGGGGGGCACAUCAGUACUGACAGGAUGAAAUCACCAGCAUGGCAAAUGAGUUUAACCUCUUGAAUAGCAGCCCUGUCACUGCGCCUAAAAGGCAGCAUCAUUUCUUCAGUUCAGACAAAAGCAGGAAAAAAAUCCCUCAGUGACCAUGAAAAAGAGUUUUAUUUGCUUUCAGUUUACACGUUUUGGAUGUUUCACUAAGAGACAAGCCCCAAGAAGGAGGAGAAGAGCCAGGAAUUGGAAAUCCCAGUCAUUCUCUCCCCUGGGAUGUAAUCGUGUUUUCCUUAGGACAUCAGAAGAAAGGUUCCCUUUUUUUUNNNNNNNNNNNNNNNNNNNNNNNNNNNNNNNNNNNNNNNNNNNNNNNNNNNNNNNNNNNNNNNNNNNNNNNNNNNNNNNNNNNNNNNNNNNNNNNNNNNNGCGGCGGAGAGCCGGAGACCCCGGGAGCGGUGUGCGCCUGGAGGGCUCCUGAUCCGCCGUCGGUCCCGACCCGCGCAGACAUUCAGGCCAUCGCCUCCCAUCCUGUGCCACAUUGCUCCCAUUUAUCUGACCCCUACUAGCACCUGCUUGAGUGCACAUUGCACCACAUCCAUCUGACAGCCUUCAUAGAGCAACAUAGAACUGUGUGGACGUCAGUGCCCCGGCAGCAUGGGUAACCCCAACCCUGUAACCCUUCUGCCGGAUAGAUCACAGCAGCAGUAAAAAGGGCUGGGAUCAAUGAAGCUAAGCCUCUUCAGGAUAAAUAAACCUGCCUUGUCCUCUGUAGAGACUUUCCUUGCUCUCUCUCCAAGCACAGACAAGGAAACCUUUAAUGGGAGAAGGGAAGAAACUUAAGAAAGCCAAAAAUAUGAAGAUGUGUGCAAAAAUGUGUGCAAUCACCCUCCUCCCCCAGCAGUGCAGAAAGCGGUCCCUGGGCCGCAGGAUCUGACUUCUGCCUUCUUGCUGGAAGCCACAGCAGCAGGUUCUUUGGGGCUUAAGCAUCCUUCCUUCCAUUUACCUGAGAAACCACCAUCUCCACAAUCCCCACCCAACCAAACUACCCCCCCCCCAAAAAAAAAACAAAAACCUAGCUUCAAAAAAUCCCUUGAGCACAUCUCCAAGUUAUUUCCCCAUUCAGUGCCCUUCAACUCCAGGACAGGGCUGCGGUGUCUUCCCGAGCAUCCCGGAGCUGCCCGGGAAGAGUUCUGUGGCAGCAAUUCCUGCUUUCAUCGAUAGAGGGAGCAGACCGCUUCGUGGUUUUAUUUCAAGCUCAGCAGCAUCAGCGGUGUGCUGGCCCAUCCACCUUCAAAGGGAAGUGUUCUGGUUUUAUUGAUAUUUCCAAAUGUGUGGUUGUUUUGUUUGUUUGUUUGUUUUCUUUCUGAAAAUGAACUUUUCCCCUUUGUUUUAUAUACUUACAAUAUUGAAAGCUUUACUGAAGUUCAAAAAGAUUACAUUAACUGGCUUUCCUUGGUUAACUAGAUGGGUGACCUUGUCAUAAAAGGAGAUUAAGUUGGUUAAACAGGACCUUCCCCUCAUGAAUCCGUGUUGAGUGUGACCAAUGACUGCACUGUCCUUCAGAUGUUUUUCAAAUUUCAAUUUUCUCAGUAAUUUUGCCAGGCACUGAAGUGAGAAUUGCAGACCUGUGAUUACCAGGGGCUUCUUUCUUACUGUUCUUGGAAGAGGAGACAUUUGCCAGAGUCCAGAUAACUCAGACCUCUCUAGAUUUCCAAGACAGUUGAAAAAUAAAUGAGGCUGUGUCAUGAUGACUUCAGUCAGGAAUUGUCUGGAAUACUGUAUCCAGCUUGAAUGCUCCCAAUACAAAGAACACUGAUAAAAUUCAGCAGAUCCCAUGGAGGGCUAUCAGGACAGCUGGGAGAUGGAACACUGGAGAUGCUAGGAAAUCUGGGCUUUCUCAGCCUGGGGAAGGGAAGCCUGACAGCAGCCUUCCAGUAUCUACAAGGGGAUUAUAGAGAAAGUGGAGCUAGGCUCUGUACUGGAGUGCAGAGAGAGCAGAUGACAGACAGGAGUCAUAAACUGGAAUAGGACUGGAAAAAAACAAUCACUGAGGGUUAUUAAGCACUGGCUGCCUUGAGAGGUUGGGAUUUCUAUCACUGAAAGUUUCUGAGACCCACCUGGACAAGGCACUGAGAAAUCUCAUCUUAUUUUAGUUGUGAUCCUUUUUUAAGCAGGAGGUUGGACAGGAGACCUCACACGAUCCCUUUAAAAUUGAAUGACACUGUGGCUUUUGACUAAACACAAAGCUAUGAAAACCAUAUCCUUAAAAUUUUUUGCAGAGAUCUGGUAUACAUUUCUAUUACCUAUAUUAACAGCAAGAUUGCUGUGGGGGCAAGUUUUAGAGAAAUCACUGAGUUACUGUACUUUCAACAGUCACUGGAAUUAGAAGGAGAUACUGGACAGGAUUUAAAAUCAAACUUCAUAAAAAUUCAUUGCAAUCAAGCCUGUUUCGAUGGAAUUUUUUAAAUUAUUGCUUAUCAACAUGUAAAUGUAUUCAUAUCAAGAAUUAACAAACUGCAUUUUAUUCAGACUUCUGAACAAAAUCUCUGACAACAAAGAUGGAUUAGAAAAUGAAAGCAUUUUUCUGCUUUUAUUAAUUCUUUAAAAAUAAUUAGUAAAUAAAUAAAUAAAUA